GUUGUUCGGAAUUACUGGGCGUAAAGGGUUCGUAGGCGGCCAACUAAGUCAGACGUGAAAUCCCUCGGCUUAACUGGGGAACUGCGUCCGAUACUGGAUGGCUUGGAUUUGGGAGAGGGAUGCGGAAUUCCAGGUGUAGCGGUGAAAUGCGUAGAUAUCUGGAGGAACACCGGUGGCGAAGGCGGCAUCCUGGACCAAUAUUGACGCUGAGGAGCGAAAGCCAGGGGAGCAAACGGG
This 237-nucleotide ribosomal RNA is filed under the name uncultured bacterium. RNAcentral describes it as "partial 16S ribosomal RNA". It matches the Rfam family "Bacterial small subunit ribosomal RNA", at positions 540 to 776 of the family's 1533-position model. The record is from RNAcentral.